UUUAGAGCCGCAGCACGCUGCUUCUAUUAUAUAUAGCGUCCAAAUCCAUGUCCACUCCCACGUCUGUUUCUUCCUACAUCAAGAAAUGUUGGUGCUGCCUUCCGUCAUCCCUUUGCAGUUUGAACAGUUCUCUUGCCAUCAGCAGUACAGCAGCAUCCAUUUUCAUUGGUCCUCCUAUACGUGUUAUUGAUCGAUUUAUAGCCUCAGCAGCAGUUCUAACAGGCCAUUGCUAUGCGACUCAUGUUGCCAUCACAGCGUUGAUUCCAUCAGCAGCAGCUUCUAUCGAUUGAGUCGUCAACAGAUCAACCAGCAGGUAGACAUUUUUUUUAUUUCUGGUCGUGUGAGUGCAGGAUCAAUACCGUGUCUGUAACUGACAGCAACGUAGACGCAGUAACCUUAACAAUCAAGAUUAUUUCAGUCGUUUUCAGUCCCACCUCUUCUUUGCCAGAAAAUUGGAAUUUUUUUUAAUUAUUAAAGUUCAAUCAG
Daphnia pulicaria is the source of this 486-nucleotide long non-coding RNA. RefSeq lists it as uncharacterized. The transcript has 3 exons. The record is from RefSeq and is a predicted model, not a curated record. Lineage: Eukaryota; Metazoa; Arthropoda; Branchiopoda; Diplostraca; Daphniidae.